This is a non-coding RNA of Faecalibacterium prausnitzii SL3/3, 112 nucleotides long. The record is from Rfam. Lineage: Bacteria; Bacillati; Bacillota; Clostridia; Eubacteriales; Oscillospiraceae.
UGGCGAUGAAACAGUAGACUGGUUCGGUAUCAGCCGACUGUGGAGCCCGACCGUGGGUUGAGCGGAAACCACAAGCCGAAUAGAUUCGAUGAAUCGAAAGAAAACGCUUAAU